This 746-nucleotide long non-coding RNA is filed under the name Glycine max (soybean). RNAcentral describes it as "long non-coding RNA (GMAX_LNC000018)". The record is from RNAcentral. Lineage: Eukaryota; Viridiplantae; Streptophyta; Magnoliopsida; Fabales; Fabaceae.
UUGAGACUAUUCCAUCUUCCAUUGGAGAUCUCAGCAAACUCUGCAAGUUAGGCCUUACCUACUGUGAAUCACUUGAAACUUUUCCGAGCAGCAUUUUCAAAUUGAAGUUGACAAAACUUGAUUUGAGUCGUUGCUCAAAGCUGAGGACCUUCCCUGAGAUCUUGGAGCCUGCACAAACUUUUGCUCACGUUAACUUAACAGGAACGGCCAUUAAAGAAUUGCCUUUUUCAUUUGGCAAUUUGGUUCAUCUUCAAACCUUGCGCCUGAACAUGUGCACUAAUCUCGAGUCACUUCCCAACAGCAUUUUCAAAUUGAAGUUGACAAAACUUGAUUUGAGUCGUUGCUCAAAGCUGAGGACCUUCCCUGAGAUCUUGGAGCCUGCACAAACUUUUGCUCACGUUAACUUAACAGGAACGGCCAUUAAAGAAUUGCCUUUUUCAUUUGGCAAUUUGGUUCAUCUUCAAACCUUGCGCCUGAACAUGUGCACUGAUCUCGAGUCACUUCCAAACAGCAUUGUCAAAUUGAAGUUGACAGAACUUGAUUUGAGUGGUUGCUCAAAGCUGAGGACCUUCCCCGAGAUCUUGGAGCCUGCACAAACUUUUGCUCACGUUUACUUAACAGGAACGGCCAUUAAAGAAUUGCCUUUUUCAUUUGGCAAUUUGGUUCAGCUUCAAACCCUGCACCUGAACUUGUGCACUGAUCUCGAGUCACUUCCAAACAGCAUUGUCAAUCUGAACCUUCUCUCU